This 468-nucleotide ribosomal RNA is filed under the name uncultured bacterium. RNAcentral's name for it is "partial 16S ribosomal RNA". It matches the Rfam family "Bacterial small subunit ribosomal RNA", at positions 28 to 507 of the family's 1533-position model. The record is from RNAcentral.
GACGAACGCUGGCGGCGUGCUUAACACAUGCAAGUCGAACGGAAAGGCCCUGCUUUUGUGGGGUGCUCGAGUGGCGAACGGGUGAGUAACACGUGAGUAACCUGCCCUUGACUUUGGGAUAACUUCAGGAAACUGGGGCUAAUAACGGCUCGGAGCUCCUGCUGCAUGGUGGGGGUUGGAAAGUUUCGGCGGUUGGGGAUGGACUCGCGGCUUAUCAGCUUGUUGGUGGGGUAGUGGCUUACCAAGGCGUUGACGGGUAGCCGGCCUGAGAGGGUGACCGGCCACAUUGGGACUGAGAUACGGCCCAGACUCCUACGGGAGGCAGCAGUGGGGAAUAUUGCACAAUGGGCGGAAGCCUGAUGCAGCAACGCCGCGUGCGGGAUGACGGCCUUCGGGUUGUAAACCGCUUUCGCCUGUGACGAAGCGUGAGUGACGGUAAUGGGUAAAGAAGCACCGGCUAACUACGUG